CCUACGGGGGGCAGCAGUCGCGAAAACUUUGCAAUACACGAAAGUGUGACAGGGUCAUCCCGAGUGCCGACCGCUGAGGUUGGCUUUUACCCAGUCUAGAAAGCUGGGGGAAUAAGGAGAGGGCAAGUCUGGUGUCAGCCGCCGCGGUAAUACCAGCUCUCCGAGUGGUGUGGACGUUUAUUGGGCCUAAAGCAUCCGUAGCUGGCUGAACAAGUCCCCUGUUAAACCCACCGAUUUAAUCGUUGGUCUGCGGGGGAUACUGCUCGGCUAGGGGACGAGAGAGGCAGACGGUAUUCCCGGGGUAGGGGUGAAAUCCUAUAAUCCCGAGAAGACCACCAGUGGCGAAGGCUGUCUGCUAGAACGCGCCCGACGGUGAGGGAUGAAAGCUGGGGGAGCGAACCGGAUUAGAUACCCGAGUAGUCGGG
This 425-nucleotide ribosomal RNA is filed under the name uncultured bacterium. RNAcentral describes it as "bacterial SSU rRNA". It matches the Rfam family "Archaeal small subunit ribosomal RNA", at positions 322 to 749 of the family's 1478-position model. The record is from RNAcentral.